Molecule: long non-coding RNA, 147 nt
Organism: Solanum tuberosum (potato)
Lineage: Eukaryota; Viridiplantae; Streptophyta; Magnoliopsida; Solanales; Solanaceae
Exons: 2
Source: RefSeq, a predicted model, not a curated record
GUUCUUUAAAUAAAGCUCCGUUGAACCCCUACUUGAAAGGGAGAAUAGCGGAGUUGUUGUACAGCCUAAGGUCUUUUCCUACAGAGAAAGCGGCUAACUACCUGCAAAUUCUGACCUGGACCCUUCUAUUGCAAUUAUAAGCUUCUU